AUUAGGGCUCCGAGGCUAGCUCCGAUUUCUUCUUCUCUGGAUGUUCACUGAUCUGUGCCCUAGCACGGUCUGCGUUUCCCCGAUCGAUGCCAUUGGAUCAAGCCAGAUCCACCGAUCGCCGGUGUAGAGAGGGAGUUAGGGCUUCAAUGGGUCAGGUCAUGGAUCGUUUGAGUGGAUCUUGGAUUCCUCUGCCGGAGCUAGGUCUUGGCAGACGCUGGCUAGUUGAGGGUCAGUAGAUUCAAUACAUUGCAUUAUGGAUUGGAUUAGGUGACACUUUCUGGAGGCAACCGAUCGAGUACUUGGACUUUCUCUUCUUCACUGUGAUUGAGGUCUCGGUUGAAGUGGAGAAGAAUCCCAGCAGUCAAUA
Long non-coding RNA from Zingiber officinale, 367 nucleotides. RefSeq lists it as uncharacterized. The record is from RefSeq and is a predicted model, not a curated record. The transcript has 3 exons. NCBI's taxonomy places the organism in Eukaryota, Viridiplantae, Streptophyta, Magnoliopsida, Zingiberales, Zingiberaceae.